This 631-nucleotide ribosomal RNA is filed under the name uncultured Chloroflexota bacterium. RNAcentral's name for it is "bacterial SSU rRNA". It matches the Rfam family "Bacterial small subunit ribosomal RNA", at positions 56 to 728 of the family's 1533-position model. The record is from RNAcentral. Lineage: Bacteria; Bacillati; Chloroflexota.
UGCAAGUCGAACGAACCCGCAAGGGUGAGUGGCGGAAGGGUGAGUAACACGUAGGAAUCUACCCCGACGGAGGGAACAACCGAUCGAAAGAUUGGCUAAUACCCAAAAGGGUCCGCAAGGAUCAGAGUCGAAAGGCCUGUCGGGAUGAGCCUGCGGCGCAUCAGCUAGUUGGUGAGGUAAAAGCUUACCAAGGCUACGACGCGUAGGGGGUCUGAGAGGACGUCCCCCCACACUGGAACUGAAACACGGUCCAGACGCCUACGGGUGGCAGCAGUGAGGAAUAUUCGUCAAUGGGGGAAACCCUGAACGAGCAACGCCGCGUGGAGGAUGAAGGCCUUCGGGUCGUAAACUUCUUUUAGGGGAGACGAGAAAGGACGGUAUCCCCGGAAUCAGUCACGGCUAACUACGUGCCAGCAGCCGCGGUAAUACGUAGGUGACGAGCGUUAUCCGGAUUUACUGGGCGUAAAGCGCUUGUAGGUGGUGCCGUAAGUUGGGCGUGAAAUCCCCGGGCUUAACCCGGAGAGGCCGUCCAAUACUGCGGUGCUAGAGGAUGUCAGAGGAAGGUGGAAUUCCUGGUGUAGUAGUGAAAUGCGUAGAUAUCAGGAGGAACACCCGUGGCGAAGGCGACCUU